GUUGAACGCUGGCGGCGUGCCUAAUACAUGCAAGUCGAGCGAACAGACGAGGAGCUUGCUCCUCUGACGUUAGCGGCGGACGGGUGAGUAACACGUGGAUAACCUACCUAUAAGACUGGGAUAACUUCGGGAAACCGGAGCUAAUACCGGAUAAUAUAUUGAACCGCAUGGUUCAAUAGUGAAAGACGGUUUUGCUGCCACUUAUAGAUGGAUCCGCGCCGCAUUAGCUAGUUGGUAAGGUAACGGCUUACCAAGGCGACGAUGCGUAGCCGACCUGAGAGGGUGAUCGGCCACACUGGAACUGAGACACGGCCCAGACUCCUACGGGAGGCAGCAGUAGGGAAUCUUCCGCAAUGGGCGAAAGCCUGACGGAGCAACGCCGCGUGAGUGAUGAAGGUCUUCGGAUCGUAAAACUCUGUUAUUAGGGAAGAACAAAUGUGUAAGUAAAUAUGCACGUCUUGACGGUACCUAAUCAGAAAGCCACGGCUAACUACGUG
RNAcentral lists this ribosomal RNA (497 nucleotides) under uncultured bacterium. RNAcentral's name for it is "partial 16S ribosomal RNA". It matches the Rfam family "Bacterial small subunit ribosomal RNA", at positions 28 to 507 of the family's 1533-position model. The record is from RNAcentral.